AUUGAACGCUGGCGGAAUGCUUUACACAUGCAAGUCGAACGGCAGCACGGACUUCGGUCUGGUGGCGAGUGGCGAACGGGUGAGUAAUGUAUCGGAACGUGCCCAGUCGUGGGGGAUAACGUAGUGAAAAUUACGCUAAUACCGCAUACGAUCUAUGGAUGAAAGCGGGGGAUCGCAAGACCUCGCGCGAUUGGAGCGGCCGAUAUCAGAUUAGGUAGUUGGUGGGGUAAAGGCCCACCAAGCCAACGAUCUGUAGCUGGUAUGAGCGGACGACCAGGCACACUGGGACUGAGACACGGUCCAGACUCCUAAGGGAGGAAGCAGGGGGGAAGUUUGGACAAUGGGCGAAAGCCUGCUCCAGCCAUUCCGCGUGCAGGAUGAAGGCCCUCGGGUUGUAAACUGCUUUUGUACAGAACGAAAAGGUUUCUACUAAUACUAGGAGCUCAUGACGGUACUGUAAGAAUAAGCGCCGGCUAACUACGUGCCAGCCGCCGCCGUAA
This 500-nucleotide ribosomal RNA is filed under the name uncultured bacterium. Its description in RNAcentral is "partial 16S ribosomal RNA". It matches the Rfam family "Bacterial small subunit ribosomal RNA", at positions 30 to 523 of the family's 1533-position model. The record is from RNAcentral.